AUUGAACGCUGGCGGAAUGCUUUACACAUGCAAGUCGAACGGCAGCACGGACUUCGGUCUGGUGGCGAGUGGCGAACGGGUGAGUAAUGUAUCGGAACGUGCCCAGUCGUGGGGGAUAACGUAGUGAAAAUUACGCUAAUACCGCAUACGAUCUAUGGGUGAAAGCGGGGGAUCGCAAGACCUCGCGCGAUUGGAGCGGCCGAUAUCAGAUUAGGUAGUUGGUGGGGUAAAGGCCCACCAAGCCAACGAUCUGUAGCUGGUCUGAGAGGACGAACAGCCACACUGGAACUGAGACACGGUCCAGACUCCUACGGGAGUCAGCAGUGGGGAAUUUUGGACAAUGGGCGAAAGCCUGAUCCAGCCAUUUCGCGUGCAGGAUGAAGGCCCUCGGGUUGUAAACUGCUUUUGUACAGAACGAAAAGGUUUCUACUAAUACUAGGAGCUCAUGACGGUACUGUAAGAAUAAGCACCGGCUAACUACGUGCCAGCAGCCGCGGUAA
This 500-nucleotide ribosomal RNA is filed under the name uncultured bacterium. RNAcentral's name for it is "partial 16S ribosomal RNA". It matches the Rfam family "Bacterial small subunit ribosomal RNA", at positions 30 to 523 of the family's 1533-position model. The record is from RNAcentral.